GUGAGGAAUUUUUCGCAAUGGGCGAAAGCCUGACGGAGCAAUGCCGCGUGAAGGAUGAAGGCCUAUGGGUUGUAAACUUCUUUUCUCAGAAAAGAAUUAUGACGGUAUCUGAGGAAUAAGCAUCGGCUAACUCUGUGCCAGCAGCCGCGGUAAGACAGAGGAUGCAAGCGUUAUCCGGAAUGAUUGGGCGUAAAGCGUCUGUAGGUUGUUUAAAAAGUAUUCUGUCAAAGAUUAGGGCUUAACCCUAGAUAGGCAGAAUAAACUUUUAAGCUAGAGUUUGGUAGAGGCAGAGGGAAUUCCCGGUGGAGCGGUGAAAUGCGUAGAUAUCGGGAGGAACACCAAAGGCGAAGGCACUCUGCUGGGCCAAUACUAACACUGAGAGACGAAAGCGAGGGGAGCAAAUGGGAUUAGAUACCCGUGUAGUCC
This 426-nucleotide ribosomal RNA is filed under the name uncultured bacterium. Its description in RNAcentral is "partial 16S ribosomal RNA". It matches the Rfam family "Bacterial small subunit ribosomal RNA", at positions 354 to 796 of the family's 1533-position model. The record is from RNAcentral.